RNAcentral lists this ribosomal RNA (466 nucleotides) under uncultured bacterium. Its description in RNAcentral is "partial 16S ribosomal RNA". It matches the Rfam family "Bacterial small subunit ribosomal RNA", at positions 28 to 507 of the family's 1533-position model. The record is from RNAcentral.
GAUGAACGCUGGCGGCGUGCUUAACACAUGCAAGUCGAACGGAAAGGCCCAAGCUUGCUUGGGUACUGGAGUGGCGAACGGGUGAGUAACACGUGGGUGAUCUGCCCUGCACUUCGGGAUAAGCCUGGGAAACUGGGUCUAAUACCGGAUAGGACCACAUUUUGGAUGGUGUGGUGGAAAGUUUUUCGGUGUGGGAUGAGCUCGCGGCCUAUCAGCUUGUUGGUGGGGUAAUGGCCUACCAAGGCGUCGACGGGUAGCCGGCCUGAGAGGGUGUACGGCCACAUUGGGACUGAGAUACGGCCCAGACUCCUACGGGAGGCAGCAGUGGGGAAUAUUGCACAAUGGGCGCAAGCCUGAUGCAGCGACGCCGCGUGGGGGAUGACGGCCUUCGGGUUGUAAACUCCUUUCGCUAGGGACGAAGCGUUAUGUGACGGUACCUGGAGAAGAAGCACCGGCUAACUACGUG